CCGAAUGUUAAAGAGAAGGAGGAGGUUUGAAACAUUUCAAUUUUAACCCUUUGAUUGGUAAGUUAUUUCAAGCCCUUUUUUUGUAAAAUUUAUGUUUUUAAGAUCGUGGACGCUUUGAUUUAGUUAGCCCGUGUAUUAUUUUGUAAAACUUUUAAAGCUUUCAAAAGUUAUCAUUGUUUAUUUCUUGAAUUUUUUUUGUGUUAAAUUGUUAGAUUUUGAGCUUAAAUAUGAAAAUUGACAAGUUUGUGAAGUUUAAAUGUUAAUUUUGUAACAUAAGGACUAAAAUGAAUUAUUUCUAACGCUAUUAUAAGACUUUGAUAAAAAUAGAUAGUAGAGAGUUUAUAAAGGAUGAGAUUGAAAUCAGAUUAGAAAACAAAGCUCAAAUUUGAAAGAUAUGGCUAUUUCGGUUUUAAGGACUAAAUUGAAUCAAAUGUAAAAUUUUAAGGGACAUUUGAAAAAUAAAAUUAAACUGAUACAUACUUAUAAUAGGAUGAUAUGAGAUGUUUGGAAUUGAUAAUUUGAACUCAAUUAUUGUAUAGAUCAAGAAUUAAACCAAAUCGAGGCUAGUCAUGAAAAAAGCAAAAAUUGUCGAAUAGUCUUUAAAAGCUCGUUUGGUUACUGUUUCGCUUGGUAAGUUCAUAUGGAACUUAUUGAGUUAAUUCAUGUUAUUUUUUUAUUUCCAUAAAUUGAAUAAUUAUAUUUGUUACAUAUUUAUUUUGUUAUGCAAUAUAUGAUAUUGAGGGAAAUUGAAAAUAAUUAUUUGAGUUUAAAAUAUUAUGUUUGAGAUUGAUUAUCGAACAAGAGGACUAAUUUAAACAAUAAUGAAAAUUUGUGUAACUUAGUGAUUAUAUGUAUUGACAUUUAAUUUGGUUAGAAUGUAUUAUGUCAUAUAAUGAAAUAAGAACUUACUCAAAUCCUGGAAGAGCAAAUUGUUUAACUAAACAUUUUAUGGACAGCAGUGGUAUUACAACUUUGAAAAUUUACUAAAAAUUGAAGGAAUCAAGUUAGAGGUUGAACCAAAUAUGAAAUUAAAUCUUAUUGAGUCUAGUUUUACACAAAAGUAACGGUGAAAGCAAUGAAAUUGUAGGUUAUGAGAUAUAAUACUUUUUAUGAGACAAUGUCAGAAUGAUUUCGGGGUCAGUUGUUCUAACUUUGAAAAAUCACUAUAAAUUGUAAAAAAAAAUUUAGGUGAUGAAAUUCAUAUGCCUAAAAUAUUAAUGAGUUUAUUUUAAAGAAAACAAACCAAAACGUAAUCUGAUACUUAUACUGAAAGUUAUUUAAUUUUUAGUGAAGAAGAGUCGAAACUGCCUAGCUGCAGAACAAGGGAGGUUUUAAAAAAAAAACUGGUAUUAAUCUACCAAGAAAUAAAUUCUGAAAUUUUUAUGGUAAAAAUUUCAUUGAGUCUAGUUUCAAAAACAAAAAGUAGAUCUUAAUUUUAAAUUUUUUAGGUCUAGAUAUAAAUAAUUUAGUGACUACUACUCAAAAAGACAGUUUUGUUAAAAGUAUAUGUAUAAAUAGUUAAAGAUAAUUCAAGUUACAUAAAAGCGUGUCAUACUAAGGUUAAAGAUUCUUGUAUAAAUACUUGUAAAUAAAGGAAGUGGAAUGGAGAGGAGGAGAGGAAAAAAUAAUAAAAGAGUUGUAAAAUGAAUUAAUAGUUUAUUAUGAUUGAUCAAAUCAUAUUGGUGUAAAUUUAAUUGAUUAUAAAGAUAGAUGAUUAAAUUGAAUAAAAGUGAAAAUGUUUAAACUAAAUGAAAUGGUGAAAUUGGUUUGGAAUUGAAAUGGUAUGUUAUCUUAUGUAUGAAAUGAUAUCAUGAGUGAUAAAUUGAUCAUAUUGAGAUCGAUAGAAUGAGAAUUGAACUUAUAAGGGAAUUAGAUAAAUGAUUACCCUAUUAAUUGCUCGAUGGAGUUAUUUUGACUAUAUCUUAUUUUGACUAUAUCUCAAUUAGCGUGGGGCGCAUUUUACUUUGGACAUUCUGAUAAGUGUUGGGUGCAAACUAAUUACUUUAGACACUCCGAUGAGGCACUGGGUGCCAAAUGGUUACGUCGACUGUGUCGAUAAGUGUUGAGCACAAUAUUUACUUCGGUCAUACCGAUGAGUGCUGGGAGCAAUCUAUUUUCUUCGGAAAUUAUCCAAUGAGGCACCAGGUGUCAAACUAGGGUGUUGGUUGGAUUUGUGUAUCCGUUCGUGUCUGAGUCAAGUUAAUAAGGAUUUAAUAUGUAAAAAUUUAUAAUCAUAAUGAAAAAAAAUUGUUAAUGUGAAAGAAAUUUGUAAACUAGAAUAAUAAGUCUGAAAGAUUGGUAUGAAAUUGUGUUGAAUUCAACAAUUCAAUUUGGGAAAUGACAUGUUAGUAUGAUAUAUUUCUAACUAGUUAUUUGUUCAUAUUUAAAUGAUUCAUAAAACAGAUUUAUAAUGAGAUAUUGUGUGUUGAUGAUUAAUUGAAUUGUGAUUCUGAAAUUGAAUGUGAAUAUAUAUAUUGGAUUGAACUGUAAUGAAAUCAUUUUCAUACAAUAAGAAUAGUGUACAAGGUACGAGUAUACAAAUACAAUCAAAUUCAGGAUAUGAUAUGUGGAAAUAUGAAUGGUUUUAUCGGGCGUGAUAUUAUAAUUGGAAUUAAAAACUUAACAAUGUAAUGAAAUAGAUUGACAAUAAAUAUGAUAAUGAAAUGAGUUAUGUGAAAUUGGUAUGAGUUAGUGACUUGAUAAAAGAUAUCGAAAUGAAAUAGUAUAAUGUUAUGGAAUCAAUUGUGCAUAUAUAUGUGGAUCAUGAUAAAGGAAAUACAUGAACUUCUAUGUGAAUAAAUUGGAAACAAGCUUUGGGAGAGGCUGAAAUGAAUACGAAUGAGUCGACCGACUCCAGAAAGAGACUUAAAUGGAUUAUUAUUGUGGAAUGAACAUGGAAUUGAUUGUUAUAAUGUUAAUGAUAUAAAUGUUUGAUUCAUGAUUGGUAUUGAGUUCUAAAAAGGCUUUAUAAUAGGUGUUGGCAUGUAAAUGAAAUUGAUCACUUCUAUUGCAAUGCUAAAUGAAUUGGUUUGACAUUUGAUAUGAAUGACAUACUAGUUGGAUGUUACAACUUUCUUAACUUGUAAUUUUGUUAUUCGAAUCAUAAAAAUACUACCGAGUUCUAUUGUUCAACAUAUGGUUUGUUUUUUGUGCGCAGGUUAGGUAUGAUUCAUGAUAUUUGAACUACGACUUCAACAUCCAGUCAACAAUCCCGAACUCGUCAAAGUUUGUAUAUUUCAUUUUUAUUCUAAGUUGGCAUGUACAUAGUUGAGUCUAAUUUGGUUUGUUCUUAAGUGAAUGCUCCUAUUGAAUUUGGUAUCAUAUGAUGGAUGUUUGGUUCAUGUUCAACCUUAGAUUAGUUCUUGGAGCUUUUUUGAACGCGUAUAAAUCCCGUAAAUGGUUGAUUCUUGUGAUUAAUGCUUGUUUGAUUGACUUAAAUCUUAUAAUGGCUUAAAGUGGAAAUAAAUUGAUUGUAGUCGCUCUGGCAAUGAAUGUGACAUCCUGUUGCUCAGACUCAGUGAUUGAGUCAGGUGUAGGGUGUUACAUUACAUGCUAAUUUGACAUAUUUUUUUUCCAUUUUAUACAGUUUAGGGCAAUAAGAGAAAACUUAGUCUUGAAGCUUACCUGUUCAAUGUUCGAUGCAGUAGCAUUUCCUACAGCAAAGGCCAUGUAGACGUAGAUUGAUGGAUGAUCAGCAUGGGAUGUCCUAAAAUUAUUUAUUGGACUUCUAAUUUCAAUUUGACUCAGCU
RNAcentral lists this long non-coding RNA (3749 nucleotides) under Gossypium raimondii (Peruvian cotton). Its description in RNAcentral is "long non-coding RNA (GRAI_LNC003651)". The record is from RNAcentral. Lineage: Eukaryota; Viridiplantae; Streptophyta; Magnoliopsida; Malvales; Malvaceae.